GCCUGGGUGGCUCAGUCGGUUGAGCGUCCGACUUCGGCUCAGGUCAUGAUCUCGUGGUCCGUGAGUUCGAGCCCCACUUCAGGCU
RNAcentral lists this transfer RNA (85 nucleotides) under Felis catus (domestic cat). It matches the Rfam family "tRNA". From Rfam's summary of the family: Transfer RNA (tRNA) molecules are approximately 80 nucleotides in length. Lineage: Eukaryota; Metazoa; Chordata; Mammalia; Carnivora; Felidae. The record is from Rfam by way of RNAcentral.